UGGGCUGCCCUUGGUGUUCCUCCAACCCUGU
RNAcentral lists this non-coding RNA (31 nucleotides) under Mus musculus (house mouse). Lineage: Eukaryota; Metazoa; Chordata; Mammalia; Rodentia; Muridae. The record is from RNAcentral.